RNAcentral lists this ribosomal RNA (253 nucleotides) under uncultured bacterium. RNAcentral's name for it is "partial 16S ribosomal RNA". It matches the Rfam family "Bacterial small subunit ribosomal RNA", at positions 524 to 776 of the family's 1533-position model. The record is from RNAcentral.
UACGAAGGGGGCUAGCGUUGUUCGGAUUUACUGGGCGUAAAGCGCACGUAGGCGGAUCGAUCAGUCAGGGGUGAAAUCCCAGAGCUCAACUCUGGAACUGCCUUUGAUACUGUCGAUCUGGAGUAUGGAAGAGGUGAGUGGAAUUCCGAGUGUAGAGGUGAAAUUCGUAGAUAUUCGGAGGAACACCAGUGGCGAAGGCGGCUCACUGGUCCGGUUCUGACGCUGAGGCGCGAAAGCGUGGGGAGCAAACAGG